GUCCACGCUGUAAACGGUGAGUGCUCGUCGUCGUGGGUAUUGACCCCUGCGGUGACCAAGUUAACACAUGAAGCACUCCGCCUGGGAAGUACGGUCGCAAGACUAAAACUCAAAGAAAUUGACGGGGCCCGCACAAGCGGUGGAGCAUGUUGUUUAAUUCGAAGCAACGCGCAGAACCUUACCUGGAUUUGACAUCUCUGGAAUUUCCCUGAAAGGGGAGAGUGCCUUCGGGAGCCAGAAGACAGGUGCUGCAUGGCUGUCGU
This 263-nucleotide ribosomal RNA is filed under the name uncultured bacterium. RNAcentral's name for it is "partial 16S ribosomal RNA". It matches the Rfam family "Bacterial small subunit ribosomal RNA", at positions 793 to 1055 of the family's 1533-position model. The record is from RNAcentral.